AGUUAACGCAAGGAGGGCCGGUUAUGGGAAUUACACAUUCGUUGAAUGUCCUCAUGAUAAGUGCAGCGUUCGUAUUCGUAGCAACCAUGCUUUUUAUCUGAAGGCAUCGGGCGAACAGUCCAGUCGGUAAAAAGGGACUUUAAUACCGUAAACCCAUUGCAGC
This 163-nucleotide small RNA is filed under the name Pararhizobium polonicum. RNAcentral describes it as "Rhizobiales sRNA Atu_C9". It matches the Rfam family "Rhizobiales sRNA Atu_C9". Lineage: Bacteria; Pseudomonadati; Pseudomonadota; Alphaproteobacteria; Hyphomicrobiales; Rhizobiaceae. The record is from Rfam by way of RNAcentral.